This 77-nucleotide transfer RNA is filed under the name Candidatus Komeilibacteria bacterium. Its description in RNAcentral is "tRNA-Val". It matches the Rfam family "tRNA". Rfam says of the family: Transfer RNA (tRNA) molecules are approximately 80 nucleotides in length. Their secondary structure includes four short double-helical elements and three loops (D, anti-codon, and T loops). Further hydrogen bonds mediate the characteristic L-shaped molecular structure. tRNAs have two regions of fundamental functional importance: the anti-codon, which is responsible for specific mRNA codon recognition, and the 3' end, to which the tRNAs corresponding amino acid is attached (by aminoacyl-tRNA synthetases). tRNAs cope with the degeneracy of the genetic code in two manners: having more than one tRNA (with a specific anti-codon) for a particular amino acid; and 'wobble' base-pairing, i.e. permitting non-standard base-pairing at the 3rd anti-codon position. The record is from RNAcentral. Lineage: Bacteria; Candidatus Komeiliibacteriota.
GGACAAUUAGCUCAGCUGGUUAGAGCGUUGCAUUCACAUUGCAAAGGUCGCUGGUUCGAAUCCAGCAUUGUCCACCA